GACGAACCGUGCGAACGUUGUUCGGAAUCACUGGGCUUAAAGGGCGCGUAGGCGGGCCUCCAAGUCCGGGGUGAAAGCCUCCAGCCUAACUGGAGAAGCGCCUCGGAGACUGGGGGUCUUGAGGGAGGUAGGGGCGUGCGGAACUAUGGGUGGAGCGGUGAAAUGCAUUGAUAUCCAUAGGAACUCCGGUGGCGAAGGCGGCACGCUGGACCUCUUCUGACGCUGAGGCGCGAAAGCCAGGGGAGCAAAC
This 250-nucleotide ribosomal RNA is filed under the name uncultured prokaryote. RNAcentral's name for it is "partial 16S ribosomal RNA". It matches the Rfam family "Bacterial small subunit ribosomal RNA", at positions 524 to 773 of the family's 1533-position model. The record is from RNAcentral.